AACGCACCUUGCACCCUCUCAUGGGAGGGUAUACGUGUUUGAGAAUCGUAACAGUAUCUUGUCUCUAGUCCUCAGAGGCAGACUUGAGCGCCCAGAGCGCUUUAAAUGCAGUAGUGUAUCUCUGCGCGACUCGCGCUUGGUGGACACUGUGUGCUGGAGACCUUGGUGUCUACUCACGGUGCGUCCCCUUGCGUAUGCGCAGAAGCAAGUGCACUCGUAAACGUGUGUGCGCAUAAUAAUAAAAGCGUGUACACAGCAACUGAUCUCAAAUCACGUAAGACUACCCGCCGAACUUAA
Molecule: unclassified non-coding RNA, 297 nt
Filed under: uncultured Rozellomycota
Lineage: Eukaryota; Fungi; Rozellomycota
Description: uncultured Cryptomycota sequence contains ITS2
Source: RNAcentral